GAUAUGUACACAUUCAAAGUGUUAAUCAUUUAAGCAUAUUAAACAUUAAAUUACUUUUAAAACCAUUUUUUUUUUUUUUUCAAAAGAAAUAGCAGUUUUUAUUAAAUUGUAAUCCACCUUAUCCUACUAAGGCUGCACCUGGAUCUAUUUUUUUUAAUUUAAUUUAAUUUAAAUAACCUUUUUGGAAAGGUAUUUAUACAACGGUAUACAUACUUUUAGAAGGUAAGAUAUAUCGUGGGGUAUCGUUUAUUAGGCAGAUUCCUCUGAGAGUAUAGAAUGCCGCCAAGUUCUUUAGGUUUCAAGAUAGUAACUAU
RNAcentral lists this ribosomal RNA (314 nucleotides) under Armadillo officinalis (oak-woodland pillbug). RNAcentral describes it as "partial small subunit ribosomal RNA". The record is from RNAcentral. Lineage: Eukaryota; Metazoa; Arthropoda; Malacostraca; Isopoda; Armadillidae.